UACGUAGGGUGCGAGCGUUGUCCGGAAUUAUUGGGCGUAAAGAGCUCGUAGGCGGUUUGUUGCGUCUAUCGUGAAAACCUGCAGCUUAACUGUGGGCUUGCGGUGGAUACGGGCAGACUUGAGUUCGGUAGGGGAGACUGGAAUUCCUGGUGUAGCGGUGAAAUGCGCAGAUAUCAGGAGGAACACCGGUGGCGAAGGCGGGUCUCUGGGCCGAUACUGACGCUGAGGAGCGAAAGCGUGGGGGAGCGAACAGG
RNAcentral lists this ribosomal RNA (254 nucleotides) under uncultured bacterium. RNAcentral's name for it is "partial 16S ribosomal RNA". It matches the Rfam family "Bacterial small subunit ribosomal RNA", at positions 524 to 776 of the family's 1533-position model. The record is from RNAcentral.